Molecule: long non-coding RNA, 1940 nt
Organism: Siniperca chuatsi (mandarin fish)
Lineage: Eukaryota; Metazoa; Chordata; Actinopteri; Centrarchiformes; Sinipercidae
Exons: 2
Source: RefSeq, a predicted model, not a curated record
AUGACUGAACUGAAAGGGAAACUUGAGAGAAGGCUUAAGGACACAUUUUUUGGCUUUGCUGUGAACAACAAACUCGAGCAGCUAACCCCUGAUCUGGCUAAGAAAUGUGAGGCUGAUGAAAGGUAUGACUUCUCUGAGAACAGCCUUCAUAGCUGUCAAAGCUUGGCCUCACAACUGCUGUGUCUUAUGAAGAAUACAGUGAUGCAGUCCAGGCCCGCAGUCUGAAAGCCAUUGAUAUGGAUGGAGGAAUGAGGAAUAUGGCGUGGUGGAGGCUCUUCUCAGCUCUUCAGAAAUGGAAGGUUGCCACGGUGAGGAGUGGGAUCUGAAACUGUUUUCCAAAGCAGAUGCCCCACUUGUGAAUCUGAAGGUCAGCGCCUACAUCGUCUCCAUCCCAUGUAGCAAUGCACAUACUGGACCUGUCUUUUCAAUGAUGACCUCAGCAUGGAGAAAUGAGAGAAACCGUCUGGAUUUGGACAGUGUCAAGGCAGAGCUGUAAAAUUUGUGUCAAUUUCACAAUUGAGUGCACAGAUAUGCACCAGCAAUUCCUUGCAAAAACUCUUGGAAGCAGCCAGGAAAGGGCAAACGUAUGGCAAAUAGACAUUCGACUAUGUGCGCAACGUUUCCUCUCUGUGGGAAGGAAACGCUGCUUCAGGCUCCGCAGAGAAAACCAGAAAACCAGCCAGAGGAAGGUGUGUGAUAGAUGGUGCAGAGGCCCUGACUACGCUUCUCUUCCCACAAUCCAUCUCCACACACAUAUUCAACAAGUGGAUGCUUCCUGUUGGAGGCCCUGGGGCCCUGGGUGAAAAGCUGGUCGUCGGAGGGGGGUCCCGUUUUCAGACAGUCUCUCCUGGAAGACAUUCAUCGUGUUGCACACAGUUUGCACAAAUAUUUGUGUUAAAAAUGAAAAAAGAGAUCUGAGAGGAAUUCAAACCCUGCUUACUUUCUCACCUCCACACAGCUGACCAAUCACGGCGUAAAGUGGGUGUGAAUGACAGACUGUCGCUUUUGGAAAGUUACAGAAACGGUCGGACAGAGGGGCUCUCUGAAGCCGUCCGACGCUCCGACAAACAGUUCAGAAGAAGCAUGCCGGCCGCUUAAGCUGUCUAAUUUAUAAAACGCUGUUUUCGUGUGUAAACAACACGCGUCCACUCGAGUGUUUCCAGAUCUUUGUCCAAACUGACCAACAGGAAAGGGGGUCACAUGGUCGAACAGCAUCUGAAACCCCUUUCGGGGGGGGGGGGUCUGACGAUUGUUGUAAACUUACGAAACCAACAAUCUGCCGAUCACGACCACUUUACGCGUGAUUGGUCAGUUGAGUGGAGGCAGGGUUUGAACUUCUCUCUCAAGCUCUUUUUAGUCACUUUUCAUGUGUUUGAUCAAUGUUUUUCUUUUCUGUCCUCCAUCUUGUCCGUGUCGUUCUGUCUGAUAAAAACUUUGGUUAGUUUGGUUUAUUGUUGCUUUAUGAAUCUUUACAUGCUCUCCACAUUUUCCCCCUGGUCACGUGCGAGAUGUGUUUUCCAAUGUGACCGACUUAAUGUGGACGAACUGUCAUUAUUACAUUUGUCAAAUAUCACAUUUUUGUUCAUUUAACCACAACAAAGUCUGAACCGGAGUAAAAAUUCAAAAAGGAUUUUAAUACUGUUAAUCAGUUACACAUUCAGCUAGAUUUUCUGCAAACGGCAGGCUGCAAUCAGCUGGAGGAUAAGUGCAAUGUUGAACUGUAACACUGUCAGACAUCAUCUUUGGCAACAUGACAUUACUGCGAAGGACCAAACCUGACUGAGAAAUACAUACAUUUUGGUGGAAAACGCACAAAGAAAACUUGAAAAAUAAAUCUAUAAAUGAGUAAUAAAUUAUUUCCAGAGGCAUUAGGGAGUCUGCUGAUGGAAAAAUAAAUCCAAAUGCAACGGUAAAAAGUAAAAUGAAUAUGAAAUAUAUGU